GAUGAACGCUGGCGGCGUGCCUAAUACAUGCAAGUCGAGCGAACAGACCAGGAGCUUGCUCCUCUGACGUUAGCGGCGGACGGGUGAGUAACACGUGUAUAACCUACCUAUAAGACUGGGAUAACUACGGGAAACCGGAUCUAAUCCCGGAUAAUCUCUUGCAGCGCAUGGUUGAUUGGUGAAAUUCGGUUUUGCUGUCUCUUAUAGAUGGAUCCGGGCCUCAUUAGCUAGUUGUUAAGGUAACGGCUUACCAAGGGAACGAUGCGUAGCCGACGUGACAGGGGGAUCGGCCACAGUGGAACUGAGACGCGGUCCAGACCCCGACGGGAGGCAGAAGGAGGGAAUCGUGCGCAAUGGGCGAAAGCCUGACGGAGCAACGCCGCGUGAGUGAUGAAGGUCUGCGGAUCGUAAAACUCUGUUAUUGGGGAAGAACAAAUGUGUAAGUAACGAUGCACGUCUUGACGGUACCUAAACAGAAAGCCCCGGCUAACUACGG
This 496-nucleotide ribosomal RNA is filed under the name uncultured bacterium. Its description in RNAcentral is "partial 16S ribosomal RNA". It matches the Rfam family "Bacterial small subunit ribosomal RNA", at positions 28 to 506 of the family's 1533-position model. The record is from RNAcentral.